AUUGAACGCUGGCGGCAUGCUUUACACAUGCAGGUCGAACGGUAACAGGCCGCAAUGUGCUGACGAGUGGCGAACGGGUGAGUAAUGCAUCGGAACGUGCCCAGUCGUGGGGGAUAACGCAGCGAAAGCUGUGCUAAUACCGCAUACGAUCUAUGGAUGAAAGCGGGGGACCGUAAGGCCUCGCGCGAUUGGAGCGGCCGAUGUCAGAUUAGGUAGUUGGUGGGGUAAAGGCCUACCAAGCCGACGAUCUGUAGCUGGUCUGAGAGGACGACCAGCAACACUGGGACUGAGACACGGCCCAAACUCCUACGGGAGGCAGCAGUGGGGAAUUUUGGACAAUGGGCGCAAGCCUGAUCCAGCAAUGCCGCGUGCAGGAAGAAGGCCUUCGGGUUGUAAACUGCUUUUGUACGGAACGAAACGGUCUGGGUUAAUACCCUGGGCUAAUGACGGUACCGUAAGAAUAAGCACCGGCUAACUACGUGCCAGCCGCCGCCGUAA
Molecule: ribosomal RNA, 498 nt
Filed under: uncultured bacterium
Lineage: Bacteria
Description: partial 16S ribosomal RNA
Rfam family: Bacterial small subunit ribosomal RNA
Source: RNAcentral